GUAGUCGAAUUUGCAUUAAUUCACAUGUGUUGGGUGGAUUGGAGUGGAACUUAAACUAAAUUCUACCUCAAUCCACUCUAACACAUAUGGAUUGAGGUGAAUCCGACA
Molecule: microRNA precursor, 108 nt
Organism: Sorghum bicolor (sorghum)
Lineage: Eukaryota; Viridiplantae; Streptophyta; Magnoliopsida; Poales; Poaceae
Rfam family: MIR5565 microRNA precursor family
Source: Rfam